Non-coding RNA from Theobroma cacao (cacao), 1103 nucleotides. The record is from RefSeq and is a predicted model, not a curated record. Lineage: Eukaryota; Viridiplantae; Streptophyta; Magnoliopsida; Malvales; Malvaceae.
GUGCACUCCUGUCAACAGCCGUUAUGGACACCAUGCCAAAUCAUCGUUUGUAUAAAAUAAAAAUUCUCUCUUGAGGGUCACCUUUACCUAUGAAAGAAGAGGCCAAGAUUUGAGAAGUUGCAAAACCAAAUAGGCUUGAUUUGUUUUCUAUUUUUUCUUUUAAAUUGUUACCAUCUAGUUAAGAACAAUCCUUGUUUGCCGUCUGGUUUAUUGUGCACUCUCCUCUCUUUCCAUGGAGUUCUCGUUGUCUCCUUCCUCGGUUAUGCUUGUUUUUAAAUACCGUACGUACUUAAUUCCACUUCCAAGUUCAAACCGACCUGAGGAGUGAAUUUACUAUAUGGGGUUGAUAGAGAGAGCAGUAAACCGAGAGAGAGAAAGAGAGAUGGCAGCUGAUGAGCUGAAAACUUCUUCGAAACAUGUCUGAACGCGAGUUGUUUGUCAGCCCAUGAUUGAACUCUAGCCCUAGCCUGUAUAAAUACGUUACUUGGCCUCAGUUGGGGGGCAUUCCCUUCAACGCAAACCCUUUCUUUUUCUUUACAAAAUCGAGUACUUCUUCAUUCGUUUCAGUAAAGAAAAAAAGAAAAACAGUUGACUGCGCCUUUGCUCCAUCAGUUGAUCAAUCUAGCCCUAGCCUAUAUCAACUAUUGGUUACAUGAGGGUGAAUUGCAUGAGGAAAAAACAAAUGAAAAGGGUCACGUCCUGAUCUGCCUGGCUCCCUGGAUGCCAACUAAGGAUGCUGUCGACAAGGAUUGGCCCUUCCUAGUUGGCAUCAGAGGAGUCAAGCAGGUCCAAAAUUAGACAGAUUUGUCAUCAUUUCAGGUAUUUGUUCCCUUCAUUGCAGAUUCUUUUUCUUGUUUCCCAUUUGCCUUCGUAAUUUUUUUUGUUUCUUCUCCUUUGGGCUAGUUUUGGUCCAGAACAUGUAAAGAAGCCUGACAAUCCACGUGAACUGAAAGUUCAACCCAGUCUUUGCUUUGGGCUAUGGCAAACGUGUCCAAAAUUUGCCCAAUUAAUUAAAGCCCACACCACAUACAAUAUAAUAUUGUUCUUAGUUUGGUCAAAUUCAAUUUUUAUCGAAUUCAACUGAAUAUAUAUGAUGGUGCUAA